UCACACGGACGGCUUCCCCUCCCGGAGACUCGCGGACAGACGGCGUUCGGAGCCGUUGGAGGCCGGGAUUGGGAGUUUUGGUUCCGGACGGCCAGAAAAUAAUACCUGAUCGCCCUGUCCCGAGGUCUCUGACUCCGGCCCCCGCUGCCUCUGACACCCCACCCCCUGGAAGAGCACCCUCCACCAGUAUACAGUCCGUGUUUGGAGACACGCCAGUGGCUGUAGAACGGAACCAGCAGGUCCGACCUCCACGGAGUCACGGGCGUCACAACGGGGCAGGGUAGGUGGACGGCACCCGUGCACCGGCGGAUGGGGGUAGACCCCAAGGUGUGCAUCACAUCUGCCCCAGGCUCCCUCCCCCACCUACGCCAUCCAACAGGAAGGUAUUUAAUGCUCCUGAGCCCUGGUGUAAGGUUGCCAUGCGGCAAGGUGAUGGUGGCGAUAUGAUCUGUAUAUCCUGUGCACAUGAUAGUGAGUGUCGGACUGUUCAUGGAGAUAUGGAGAGCAGGGGAUGGUGGGGGGGGGGCAAGAUCAGACAGGGCUGCCGAUGGGGAAACCACAAUGCUGCCAUCAAAGGGCCAACGCCCACGCCCCCCAUCCAUUCCAAAAUGCCUCCAUCCUGCCAGUCUCUGUCUGCAGGCCGUUAUUUAUCUGCCAAUCAGACUGCCAUGUUCCAGGGUUACAGUUGCUAGGCUGUUUCAGUUUUAAAAGCUGUGAUCUGAUAUCAGAUAAGGUCGUAUCCACCGAUGAAAUGGCCCCUGCUAGAAGUUGAUUCGCCCUCUGAGCACCCUCUCCCUUGUCACUCACCGAUUUGAAACAUAUCAUUGGACGAUGAUAAUGUUGACCCCUCCCCACACCUUACAAAAAUCCCAGAAUGACCGCUGAUAUUGGUUGAAAUUUAUGGAAUGUAAAGAGUACUUGGCACGCUCUGAUUGCUGAGUGCUGUGACCGAUUAGUCUCCAUUUUGAAUAAGCGUUGGUGUGUUAAAUCCUUAAAAAGUGAUGAAUGAGCUGCACUUUAAGUCAAAAAUUAGUAAUUAAGUUAGAAUUAUUUCCCCAAGUGCAAAGUGCAACAUGCUGCGUCAUAACAUUACAAAAGAAUCAUUAACAGUUAGGAAGUGAACAUCAGACAAGUAACACAGGCAAUUUACCAGGUUCUGUUCACCUUUUCCCCUGGUUAUCACCAGCACAGACUGGGCUUCCUCUCACCCUAAUCAUGGUCGUAAACAGUAAUCAUUUUAUGACGCUCUAUGGAAGCUUAUGUUACGUUAGUGUCUAUUACCAUGUUAGCAUAUAACAAACGGCAUUAUGCCAACAUUGUUAUAAUGGUGUGUUAUGCUAAUCAUAUAUACUAGACUGUUAGUGGACUUGAUUAUUUUAUUUGUAUUGUUUUAUAUGUAUUUCUAUUGUCUUGUCGUACCCUGAAAAUGAGUGGUAUUGGUGAUUCCGGCAUCUUCUCCUGCUUGGGUAUGAUUUUGAACUGAAUACCGCAAUAUUUUAUAAGUUCUUUGUUCUGCAGGAAUUGCAUUUUCUCUUCUAGAAAGAUCAAAUGUUUCUUUUUAUUUUUAUUCCCGGCAUACAUUGCGGUUGUGUCGUUCGUUUUUCCCGCUAUUUCCCUUAAACCCGUUAAGGGAAACGAGGGUCUUGUUCUCCACUAGUCAGUGGUGUCUCUGCACAGCCGCUGUGUGAUGAUCUGUGUGAGCGUACAGAUGUGACAGGUUACCGUACGAACCGAACAGCUGGUCCAUGCAUCGUGGAAUUACCCUUCUCGGCUGCACGGGGCCCUACCCAGACUGCGCUGGGGGCUGCCAGGUCGGGGGAUUCAACCUGAGAACCCUCAAGGCCAGACGGUGACUCCGAGAUCAGUUUGUCUGCGUUACUGUGAACUUUGACCCCGCUUUAUGACCAGAAAAUGAAACUGACACCGCAAGUUAAAACAACGCAAUUCUAGAAAGAGCCUGGGCCUUGCUAUCCUUCAUCUCAGCCCACCUGUCACUCAUGGGGGCUCCAGUGUUUAUGUCGUCGAGAAAAUGAUCAAAAAGAAUCCAUGGAGCUUCCGCAUCAGCCCACACGACGUAGAGGGGGACUCGUGUCAGGCAGAACCUUCCAGAAGAAGACCGACACUCCCCAGCUGGACAUGAAUCUGCCUCAUUGUACACGCAAUCGUGUUAAACUGUGUCCAGAGACUUCAUGUCACUAAUGUGUGUCUCUUACACACUAAGCUCUGCAAAUGCCUCCAAACAGGAGUGUCCAUGGAUUGAUUUUAAAGACACCCACCCCCCCACGCCGCUUAAAUUGGGCACGCCAGCCGUCCAACAGUGAAUCCCCCCCAGCUGGCCCCUCCCCCCAGUUGUCGUGGCAUUAGUCGACUGACAAAAACAACACGUGCAGCCGUUGUCCUGGUAGU
Long non-coding RNA from Paramormyrops kingsleyae, 2406 nucleotides. RefSeq lists it as uncharacterized. Lineage: Eukaryota; Metazoa; Chordata; Actinopteri; Osteoglossiformes; Mormyridae. The record is from RefSeq and is a predicted model, not a curated record.